RNAcentral lists this ribosomal RNA (556 nucleotides) under Fusarium sp. 48AH/R. RNAcentral describes it as "eukaryotic LSU rRNA". The stretch from base 192 to 345 matches the Rfam family "5.8S ribosomal RNA". The record is from RNAcentral. Lineage: Eukaryota; Fungi; Ascomycota; Sordariomycetes; Hypocreales; Nectriaceae.
CGUAGGGGGAACCUGCGGAGGGAUCAUUACCGAGUUUACAACUCCCAAACCCCUGUGAACAUACCUAUAAUUUUGCCUCGGCAGACUCAACGACGGUGCUCCGAGAAAUCGGGCGCCGCUCGCUGCCAGAGGAACCCCAAACUCUAUGUAUUCUUGUGGAUCUUCUGAGUAAAACAAAACAAAUAAAUCAAAACUUUCAACAACGGAUCUCUUGGUUCUGGCAUCGAUGAAGAACGCAGCGAAAUGCGAUAAGUAAUGUGAAUUGCAGAAUUCAGUGAAUCAUCGAAUCUUUGAACGCACAUUGCGCCCGCCAGUAUUCUGGCGGGCAUGCCUGUUCGAGCGUCAUUUCAACCCUCAAGCCCCCGGGCUUGGUGUUGGGGAUCGGCGAUAGUCGCCGUCCCCCAAAUCUAGUGGCGGUCUCGCUGUAGCCUCCAUUGCGUAGUAGCUAACACCUCGCAACUGGAACGCGGCGCGGCCAAGCCGUUAAACCCCCCCAACUUCUGAAUGUUGACCUCGGAUCAGGUAGGAAUACCCGCUGAACUUAAGCAUAUCAAUA